CCGUGCCCGCUACCAACCUGCUGCUGCUCGCCGUGUACAACGCCUGCCCGCACCGCGGACGACCGCUCAACAACCCACUUACCAAUGAACGGGUGGAGAUGGCGGACGGUCGUGCAGGACUGGAACCGUCAGCGAGCCGACUGGCAUGCUGGCGUAACCGGGUACCGCUACCAGGCCGCCCGCCGCACGUGCAGUGCUUCCCACAUAAUUACUCAUAUGAAGAAGGAUACCGGCAAUGUGGUCCCUGGCUGCCAGAUCCAGAAAGCAGUUCGAAGAAUCUCUUCAUAUCAAAAUUCUUACUUUUCUUAUCUUGCAUUAUUCUAUUGAUUUAAAAAAAAUUGUUAAUUAUAAAUCAGU
Long non-coding RNA from Papilio polytes (common Mormon), 357 nucleotides. RefSeq lists it as uncharacterized. The transcript has 3 exons. The record is from RefSeq and is a predicted model, not a curated record. NCBI's taxonomy places the organism in Eukaryota, Metazoa, Arthropoda, Insecta, Lepidoptera, Papilionidae.